This 253-nucleotide ribosomal RNA is filed under the name uncultured bacterium. RNAcentral's name for it is "partial 16S ribosomal RNA". It matches the Rfam family "Bacterial small subunit ribosomal RNA", at positions 524 to 776 of the family's 1533-position model. The record is from RNAcentral.
UACGGGGGGGGCAAGCGUUGUUCGGAAUUACUGGGCGUAAAGGGCUCGUAGGCGGCCAUCUAAGUCGGGUGUGAAAUCUCGGAGCUUAACUCCGAAACUGCAUUCGAUACUGCCGUGCUUGAGGACUGGAGAGGAGACUGGAAUUUACGGUGUAGCGGUGAAAUGCGUAGAUAUCGUAAGGAAGACCAGUGGCGAAGGCGGGUCUCUGGACAGUUCCUGACGCUGAGGCACGAAGGUCAGGGGAGCAAACGGG